Molecule: small nucleolar RNA, 114 nt
Organism: Ochotona princeps (American pika)
Lineage: Eukaryota; Metazoa; Chordata; Mammalia; Lagomorpha; Ochotonidae
Source: Ensembl
UUCUGAAGUGUUGUUCAAUGUCCUGUUAAUUUAACUUGGGAACAUCGAAAGGCGCCAGGAUCUAGCAAUGAAUACGAAGUUUCACUGUAUUCAUUUGCCUCUCAGCCUAAAAUC